This 1639-nucleotide ribosomal RNA is filed under the name Clostridia bacterium OttesenSCG-928-F22. RNAcentral's name for it is "partial 23S ribosomal RNA". It matches the Rfam family "Bacterial large subunit ribosomal RNA", at positions 1286 to 2925 of the family's 2925-position model. The record is from RNAcentral. Lineage: Bacteria; Bacillati; Bacillota; Clostridia.
GAGAGAGAAUGCCGGCAUGAGUAGCGAGAGCAAAGUGAGAAUCUUUGCCGUCGAAAGCCUAAGGUUUCCUGAGGAAGGUUCGUCCCCUCAGGGUAAGUCGGGACCUAAGCUGAGGGCGAAAGCCGUAGGCGAUGGACAACAGGUAGAUAUUCCUGUACCGCCAAAUUAUCGUUAAUACGAUGCAGUGACACAGGAGGAUAGGCAUACGCGGGUUGAUGGUAGAGCCCGCCCAAGCACAAAGGCUGGUCUGGUAGUGAAGUACGCCGGACCAUAAGGCAGAAGUGUGAAGGGGACAGAAAUACAAGUAUGGAAGAUGCUGAAUCCACACUGGCGAGAAAAGCUGCUAAGGAGAUAGUAGGGCGCCCGUACCGCAAACCGACACAGGUAGGCGAGGAGAGAAUCCUAAGACGAGCGGGAGAACCAUUGUUAAGGAACUCGGCAAAAUGACCCCGUAACUUCGGGAGAAGGGGUGCCACGGAAACGUGGCCGCAGAGAAAAGGCCCAAGCGACUGUUUAUCAAAAACACAGGUCUGUGCAAAAUCGAAAGAUGACGUAUACGGGCUGACGCCUGCCCAGUGCUGGAAGGUUAAGGGGAAAUGUUAGGUGUAGACCGAAGCAUGGAACUUAAGCCCCAGUGAACGGCGGCCGUAACUAUAACGGUCCUAAGGUAGCGAAAUUCCUUGUCGGGUAAGUUCCGACCCGCACGAAUGGCGUAACGACUUGGGCACUGUCUCAACAAUGGACCCGGUGAAAUUGUAGUAUGCGUGAAGAUGCGCAUUACCCGCGAUAGGACGGAAAGACCCCGUAGAGCUUUACUGUAGCUUGGCAUUGGAUCUUGGCAACAUAUGUACAGGAUAGGUGGGAGGCUUUGAAACUAGGACGCCAGUUUUAGUGGAGCCAUCCUUGGGAUACCACCCUUGUGUUGCUGGGGUUCUAACGUGUGGCCGUGAUCCGGCACACGGACAUUGCCAGGUGGGCAGUUUGACUGGGGCGGUCGCCUCCGAAAGAGUAACGGAGGCGCCCAAAGGUUCCCUCAGAAUGGACGGAAAUCAUUCAUAGAGUGCAAAGGCAUAAGGGAGCCUGACAGCGAGAGAGACAUCUCGAGCUGGGAGGAAACUCGGGCUUAGUGAUCCGGCGGUAUGAGAGUGGAAUUGCCGUCGCUCAACGGAUAAAAGCUACCUCGGGGAUAACAGGCUUAUCUCCCCCAAGAGUCCACAUCGACGGGGAGGUUUGGCACCUCGAUGUCGGCUCGUCGCAUCCUGGGGCUGUAGCAGGUCCCAAGGGUUUGGCUGUUCGCCAAUUAAAGCGGCACGCGAGCUGGGUUCAGAACGUCGCGAGACAGUUCGGUCCCUAUCCAUCGUGGGCGUAGGAAAUUUGAAGAGAGCUGUCCUUAGUACGAGAGGACCGGGAUGGACGCAUCCAUGGUGAACCGGUUGUCGCGCCAGCGGCAUCGCCGGGCAGCUAAAUGCGGACGGGAUAAACGCUGAAAGCAUCUAAGCGUGAAGCCCCCUCUAAGAUAAGAUUUCCCAUUCCUUUAAGGAAGUAAGGCCCCUUGCAGACUACAAGGUUGAUAGGCCAGAGGUGGAAGUGCAGUAAUGUAUGGAGCUGGCUGGUACUAAUAGGCCGAGGGCUUGAUCAA